GGUGAACGCUGGCGGCGUGCCUAAGACAUGCAAGUCGAGCGGGGCAGGUUUAUACCUGUUCAGCGGCGGACGGGUGAGUACCGCGUGGGUGACCUACCCGGCAGAGGCGGACACCCUGGGGAAACCCAGGCUAAUCCGCCAUGUGGUCCUGUCCUGUGGGGCAGGACUAAAGGGUGGAUAGCCCGCUUCCGGAUGGGCCCGCGUCCCAUCAGCUCGUUGGUGGGGUAAAGGCCCACCAAGGCGACGACGGGUAGCCGGUCUGAGAGGAUGGCCGGCCACAGGGGCACUGAGACACGGGCCCCACCCCUACGGGAGGCAGCAGUUAGGAAGCUUCCGCAAUGGACGGAAGUCUGACGGAGCGACGCCGCGUGGAGGAGGAAGCCCUGCGGGGUGUAAACUCCUGAACUGGGGACGAAAGCACUGUGUAGGGGGAGGACGGGACCCAGGUAAUAGCGCCGGCCAACUCCGUG
Molecule: ribosomal RNA, 470 nt
Filed under: uncultured bacterium
Lineage: Bacteria
Description: partial 16S ribosomal RNA
Rfam family: Bacterial small subunit ribosomal RNA
Source: RNAcentral